UACGGGGGGAGCAAGCGUUGUUCGGAUUUACUGGGCGUAAAGGGCGCGUAGGCGGUCACUACAAGUCAGUUGUGAAAUCUCUGGGCUUAACUCAGAACGGUCAACUGAUACUGUCGGACUAGAGUGCAGAAGGGGCAACUGGAAUUCUCGGUGUAGCGGUGAAAUGCGUAGAUAUCGAGAGGAACACCUGCGGUGAAGGCGGGUUGCUGGGCUGACACUGACGCUGAGGCGCGAAAGCUAGGGGAGCGAACGGG
RNAcentral lists this ribosomal RNA (254 nucleotides) under uncultured bacterium. RNAcentral's name for it is "partial 16S ribosomal RNA". It matches the Rfam family "Bacterial small subunit ribosomal RNA", at positions 524 to 776 of the family's 1533-position model. The record is from RNAcentral.